Non-coding RNA from Callithrix jacchus (white-tufted-ear marmoset), 2133 nucleotides. Lineage: Eukaryota; Metazoa; Chordata; Mammalia; Primates; Cebidae. The record is from RefSeq and is a predicted model, not a curated record.
UAAGUAGUAACCUUGCCUUCAUAUUUAGUGUGUGGUCUUGACAAAUAUGACAAGGGCUACAGGAAUAGCUUCAUCUAAUAAAGUGGAAAAUUCUCAGGGAACUACUCAGUUCAAGUGUGAAUUUUACAAGCUGUGUAAAAGUAGAUCAAAAUAAUAGCAAAUAAUCUAUAUCUGUUUUUUUGCAGUACUUCCUUGGGCCAAAUCAUAAGCUAAAAACUGUCAAGACAUGCAUCAUGAAGAAUCAUUAGACAAGAGCUGAUUUUUUGACAGUGCUGUAAGGAAACUGCCUACGGCUCCUUUCCCAGGAUAAUAAGUGUAUCUCCAGGACCUGGUAUACUUGUUAUGCGUUCUGGAUCCCUACAUGGUAUUUAAGUCAGAGCAAGAGAACAAGGGCUGUGGAAAACAAGUGGACUUCAGAUUUGGCCUAAUGGCAGGUAGAGAAGAAAAGCUGUUGGCAUGUGAAGAUCUGAGAAAAUAUGUGGUGAGGAGAAGUUCUCACAUUUUCUGAAAACAGCUGGAAACUAUUAAACUAGCUAUGAGAUACCAUAAUGUAGAAGCAGUUUGAAAUAGUCCAUAUUAGAGGCAUUCUGAAAUCAGUCAUUGCUUGUCAGUUAGCUGUUGAUAUCUGAAGUUGUCUUCCGGUGAAAGGUAAUUGCCAUUCAACACGCUGGCUGUUUUACUUCUGCUUCUGCUGUAUUAUUGGCAAGUCACAAAAUGGCAUUAAUACACAGAAAAUUAAUAAUAGUGACAUCAGAAAUGAUCAGAAAAUCUACAAAUUGAAUGACAAUAAGAACAUUAAAGUUCACAAGCUAGUGGAGGUGGAAUACAUUGAAAGUUUACUUUGUUUAAAGAGGGAUAUUAGGUAUAAUCGUUUUGCUCUUUAAAAAUCAAUACUCUAAAUACCACAAGUUUUGCAGUCAGUUUGCUUGGGUGGAAUCAGUGGAAAUUGAACACAAUUCUCAGAAAUGCUUUUAGUAGGUGAUAGCUGGUGUAGGAGGAAAAAUUGUGGUGGGAAAAUGUUACAGAGAAAAAAAGAUGUUGUUUAAGGCUGAAAGCAAUUCACUCUUAAAAGAAAUUUGCAUUUCAUAACACGUCUUCACUAGUACAUGACAUGCUAUGCUUCAUCUACUUUGUAGAUCAACUCUGCAUUAUUUUGGUCAAUGAGCUAGUUGGAGCAGGUGAAAACCGGGUAGUCAAAGUGAGGAAAUUAAAUUAUUUAUUUGUCUGACUUUAUAUUAUAAUUUUAAAAGUGAUUUCACCCUUAUAGCUUUGUAGAAGACAGAAAUGUUCUUUUAAAAUAUGUACUGCUGAUUUUCAAAAUGGUAAAGCUUUGGCAGCAAAGGUACUAAGUGGCACUGAUUUAAACAUCUUGGGGACUAUUAUAUUCAUUUAAAACUUUGAAUAAGAGAGUAUUUUUCUUAAAUAAAAUUCUAUCACUCUCAAGUACACUUGAUGCUACUGUUUGUUCUUUCACUUAUUUAACACAUUUUUGCAUCUACAUGCCAGGCACUUUUCUAAAUGCUAGGAAUAUAGCAGUGAACAAAACAGAGAAAACUGGGCUUGUAUUCUAGUGGAGAAAGACAAAAACAAACAGUUGAAAUAUGAAAUACAAUGUAAAAUUGUAAAUAUUAAACAAAUUUGCUUAAUAGGGAUCCUUAGAGGAGCUGCCUUAGUAAGUAGCUAAUGAUCUGUAAUUUUCAUAUCCAUUUGCAUAUGUUAUUGGUGAACAACAGGCUGUUUCUAAUAGUUGGUAGAUAAGAAAUACAUAUAUGCAUUUUGAAAUUUUGUCUAUGUUAUUUUGUAUACCAACCUUUUUUUCAAAUGAUCGGAUUUUCACAUUAUUACCCAUCAGUCUAUAGAAUAUAUAUUUGUCUUUUGUUUCAUGGUAUAUUAAGGAAAAAUCUUAACUUUCAACCUUUCCAUUAGAUCAAAGGUGAAAUCUUUAAAACAUGUAAAGAGUUUCUUCAGCUUGCUAAAGAAAGAAGAAAUAAAGGCAAAUGUAAUUUAGACAAGUCUUUGGAAGAUACAUAUUAUUACUGUGAUUAGAAAAGACAAAACUUACUGCUUCUGUUGACUUUUAAUUAGAGGCCAGAAGAGAAUACUCUUCAUGUACAAAUAAACUUUUAAAGUCUU